GUGCUCACUUCAGCAGCACAUAUUCUUAAAAAAAAAUGGAAUGAUACAGAGAAGAUUAGCAUGGCCCCUGUGCAAGAAUGACACACAAAUUCAUGAAGCGUUCCAUAUUUAA
This 112-nucleotide small nuclear RNA is filed under the name Carlito syrichta (Philippine tarsier). Lineage: Eukaryota; Metazoa; Chordata; Mammalia; Primates; Tarsiidae. The record is from RNAcentral.